GCAUUGGAACCACCUGAUCCCAUCCCGAACUCAGCAGAGAAACGAUGUAUCGCCGAUGUUAGUUUGGGGUGUCACCAUGUGAGAGUAGGUCAUCGUCAAGA
RNAcentral lists this ribosomal RNA (101 nucleotides) under Pseudomonas syringae pv. actinidiae. Lineage: Bacteria; Pseudomonadati; Pseudomonadota; Gammaproteobacteria; Pseudomonadales; Pseudomonadaceae. The record is from RNAcentral.